Podarcis lilfordi (Lilford's wall lizard) is the source of this 70-nucleotide non-coding RNA. NCBI's taxonomy places the organism in Eukaryota, Metazoa, Chordata, Lepidosauria, Squamata, Lacertidae. The record is from the annotation of a GenBank genome assembly.
UGAUAGUUCAGUAGGAAGAGCAUGAAAUUUUUAAUGUCAUGGUUGUGGGUUUGAGCCCCAUAUUGCGCAA